GAUGAACGCUGGCGGCGUGCCUAAUACAUGCAAGUAGAACGCUGAAGGAAGGAGCUUGCUCUUUCCGGAUGAGUUGCGAACGGGUGAGUAACGCGUAGGUAACCUGCCUGGUAGCGGGGGAUAACUAUUGGAAACGAUAGCUAAUACCGCAUAACAGUAGAUGUUGCAUGACAACUAUUUGAAAGGGGCAAUUGCUCCACUACCAGAUGGACCUGCGUUGUAUUAGCUAGUUGGUGAGGUAACGGCUCACCAAGGCGACGAUACAUAGCCGACCUGAGAGGGUGAUCGGCCACACUGGGACUGAGACACGGCCCAGACUCCUACGGGAGGCAGCAGUAGGGAAUCUUCGGCAAUAGACGGAAGUCUGACCGAGCAACGCCGCGUGAGUGAAGAAGGUUUUCGGAUCGUAAAGCUCUGUUGUAAGAGAAGAACGAGUGUGAGAGUGGAAAGUUCACACUGUGGCGGUAUCUUACCAGAAAGGGACGGCUAACUACGUG
This 497-nucleotide ribosomal RNA is filed under the name uncultured bacterium. RNAcentral's name for it is "partial 16S ribosomal RNA". It matches the Rfam family "Bacterial small subunit ribosomal RNA", at positions 28 to 507 of the family's 1533-position model. The record is from RNAcentral.